UUCCGUAGGGGAACCUCUUGGGGGAUCAUUACCGAGUUUACAACUCCCAAACCCCUGUGAACAUACCACUUGUUGCCUCGGCGGAUCAGCCCGCUCCCGGUAAAACGGGACGGCCCGCCAGAGGACCCCUAAACUCUGUUUCUAUAUGUAACUUCUGAGUAAAACCAUAAAUAAAUCAAAACUUUCAACAACGGAUCUCUUGGUUCUGGCAUCGAUGAAGAACGCAGCAAAAUGCGAUAAGUAAUGUGAAUUGCAGAAUUCAGUGAAUCAUCGAAUCUUUGAACGCACAUUGCGCCCGCCAGUAUUCUGGCGGGCAUGCCUGUUCGAGCGUCAUUUCAACCCUCAAGCACAGCUUGGUGUUGGGACUCGCGUUAAUUCGCGUUCCCCAAAUUGAUUGGCGGUCACGUCGAGCUUCCAUAGCGUAGUAGUAAAACCCUCGUUACUGGUAAUCGUCGCGGCCACGCCGUUAAACCCCAACUUCUGAAUGUGACCUCGGAUCAGGUAGAUGCCAAUU
This 514-nucleotide ribosomal RNA is filed under the name Fusarium oxysporum. Its description in RNAcentral is "eukaryotic LSU rRNA". The stretch from base 180 to 333 matches the Rfam family "5.8S ribosomal RNA". Lineage: Eukaryota; Fungi; Ascomycota; Sordariomycetes; Hypocreales; Nectriaceae. The record is from RNAcentral.